This 24-nucleotide microRNA is filed under the name Haemonchus contortus (barber pole worm). RNAcentral describes it as "hco-miR-252". Its record names the gene hco-miR-252. Lineage: Eukaryota; Metazoa; Nematoda; Chromadorea; Rhabditida; Trichostrongylidae. The record is from miRBase by way of RNAcentral.
CUAAGUAGUGGUGCCGCAGGUAAC